CUCAGAACGAACGUUAGCGGCGCGCCUAACACAUGCAAGUCGCACGAGAAAGGGCUUCGGCCCCGGUACAGUGGCGCACGGGUGAGUAACACGUAGAUAAUCUUCCCUCGGGUGGUGGAUAACUCUCCGAAAGGAGAGCUAAUACAGCAUGAGACCACGGCUCCCCUGGAGCUGCGGCCAAAGCAGGCCUCUAUACAUAAGCUUGCGCCUGAGGAUGAGUCUGCGGCCCAUCAGCUAGUUGGUAGGGUAAUGGCCUACCAAGGCUAAGACGGGUAGCUGGUCUGAGAGGAUGAACAGCCACACUGGAACUGAGACACGGUCCAGACUCCUACGGGAGGCAGCAGUGGGAAUCUUGCGCAAUGGGCGAAAGCCUGACGCAGCGACGCCGCGUGAGCGAUGAAGGCCUUCGGGUUGUAAAGCUCUGUGGGGAGGAAAGAAUAAGGGUUGGCUAAUAUCCAACUUGAUGACGGUACCUCCUUAGCAAGCACCGGCUAACUCUGUGCCAGCAGCCGCGGUAAGACAGAGGGUGCAAACGUUGUUCGGAAUUACUGGGCGUAAAGCGCGUGUAGGCGGCUCUGUAAGUCGGAUGUGAAAUCCCACGGCUCAACCAUGGAAGUGCAUUCGAAACUACAGGGCUAGAGUUCUGGAGAGGAAGGUGGAAUGCUUGGUGUAGAGGUGAAAUUCGUAGAUAUCAAGCGGAACACCGGUGGCGAAGGCGGCCUUCUGGACAGUAACUGACGCUGAGACGCGAAAGCGUGGGGAGCAAACAGGAUUAGAUACCCUGGUAGUCCACGCCGUAAACGAUGAGUGCUAGGUGUCACGGGCUUUGACCCUCGUGGUGCCGAAGCUAACGCGUUAAGCACUCCGCCUGGGGAGUACGGUCGCAAGACUAAAACUCAAAGAAAUUGACGGGGGCCCGCACAAGCGGUGGAGCAUGUUGUUUAAUUCGACGCAACGCGAAGAACCUUACCUGGGCUAGAAAGUACAGGAAGUCGGUCGAAAGGUCGAUGUGCCCUUCGGGGAACCUGUGGUUAGGUGCUGCAUGGCUGUCGUCAGCUCGUGCCGUGAGAUGUUGGGUUAAGUCCCGCAACGAGCGCAACCCCUGUUGUUAGUUGCCAGCAUUAAGUUGGGCACUCUAACAAGACUGCCGACCUUUAAGUCGGAGGAAGGUGGGGAUGACGUCAAGUCAUCAUGGCCCUUAUGUCCAGGGCUACAAACGUGCUACAAUGGUCGAUACAAAGGGUUGCGAACCCGCGAGGGGAAGCCAAUCUCAAAAAGUCGACCUCAGUACAGAUAGGAGUCUGCAACUCGACUCCUUGAAGUCGGAAUCGCUAGUAAUCGCUGAUCAGCAUGGCAGCGGUGAAUACG
RNAcentral lists this ribosomal RNA (1368 nucleotides) under metagenome. RNAcentral's name for it is "bacterial SSU rRNA". It matches the Rfam family "Bacterial small subunit ribosomal RNA", at positions 23 to 1370 of the family's 1533-position model. The record is from RNAcentral.